This is a long non-coding RNA of Cyprinus carpio carpio, 502 nucleotides long. The record is from Ensembl. Lineage: Eukaryota; Metazoa; Chordata; Actinopteri; Cypriniformes; Cyprinidae.
UUAUGCCUUGGAUUUAUAGUCAGGGGGUGUGGCUGGGGUCCACUCUCCCUUCAACCACUGUAAAUGUGAAAUCCAGUGAGCAAGUGGGAGGAAUGAGAGAAUAUGGGGACUCUUUCUCUUUCUCCCUCUGUCUCUUUCACUCCACAGUUCGAAGGAUCCUUAGGACAUAUGCUUGUCAUUAUCCAUUGAGGAAAAGCUCUGAUAAAUGGGAGCUGUACUUGAAUUAAUGGAAAUAGCUGCCUGGAGAUGCCCAAGAUGGCUGCAGAGUGGACUGACUGACUGAAACGGGACUUUGGUCUGGGUUUCUGGGGUGUUUUUAAAGAGGUGAGUGACACAGAACAUAUAUAAAAAAAAUGCUUCCCACAUCCUCACUUAUCUCACGUUAUCUGGAUACCUCAUUCAUCAUUUAGAUUAUCCAUGAUUAUUUUGAAAGUUUUCAUUUCAAAACUAUUUCUUUUAGUGAGAUGUAACUUGCUUAAUCAGAUGUGCAGUUUUUCCUGAA